This 757-nucleotide ribosomal RNA is filed under the name uncultured bacterium. RNAcentral describes it as "bacterial SSU rRNA". It matches the Rfam family "Bacterial small subunit ribosomal RNA", at positions 49 to 819 of the family's 1533-position model. The record is from RNAcentral.
UAACACAUGCAAGUCGAACGAGAGAGAAGGAGCUUGCUUCUUCGAUCGAGUGGCGAACGGGUGAGUAACGCGUGAGGAACCUGCCUCAAAGAGGGGGACAACAGUUGGAAACGACUGCUAAUACCGCAUAAGCCCACGGGUCGGCAUCGACCAGAGGGAAAGGGAGCAAUCCGCUUUGAGAUGGCCUCGCGUCCGAUUAGCUAGUUGGUGAGGUAAUGGCCCACCAAGGCGACGAUCGGUAGCCGGACUGAGAGGUUGAACGGCCACAUUGGGACUGAGACACGGCCCAGACUCCUACGGGAGGCAGCAGUGGGGAAUAUUGCACAAUGGGGGAAACCCUGAUGCAGCGACGCCGCGUGGAGGAAGAAGGUCUUCGGAUUGUAAACUCCUGUUGUUGAGGAAGAUAAUGACGGUACUCAACAAGGAAGUGACGGCUAACUACGUGCCAGCAGCCGCGGUAAAACGUAGGUCACAAGCGUUGUCCGGAAUUACUGGGUGUAAAGGGAGCGCAGGCGGGAAGACAAGUUGGAAGUGAAAUCCAUGGGCUCAACUCAUGAACUGCUUUCAAAACUGUUUUUCUUGAGUAGUGCAGAGGUAGGCGGAAUUCCCGGUGUAGCGGUGGAAUGCGUAGAUAUCGGGAGGAACACCAGUGGCGAANGCGGCCUACUGGGCACCAACUGACGCUGANGCUCGAAAGUGUGGGUAGCAAACAGGAUUAGAUACCCUGGUAGUCCACACUGUAAACGAUGAUUACUAG